AAUCAACGCUGGCGGCGUGCCUCAGACAUGCAAGUCGAACGAUUAAGACUCCCUUCGGGGAGUGCAUAAAGUGGCGCACGGGUGAGUAACACGUAAGUAAUCUACCCUCGGGUGGGGAAUAACGUCCGGAAACGGACGCUAAUACCGCAUAAUGCAGCGGCACCGCAAGGUGACAGUUGUUAAAGAUUUAUUGCCUGGGGAGGAGCUUGCGGCAGAUUAGCUUGUGGUAAGGAACGGCUUACCAAGGCUACGAUCUGUAUCCGGUCUAAGAGGACGGUCGGACACACUGACACUGAAUAACGGGUCAGACUCCUACGGGAGGCAGCAGUCGGGAAUUUUGGGCAAUGGGGGAAACCCUGACCCAGCAACGCCGCGUGAAGGAUGAAGUAUUUCGGUAUGUAACUUCGAAAGAAUAGGAAGAAUUAAUGACGGUACUAUUUAUAAGGUCCGGCU
RNAcentral lists this ribosomal RNA (453 nucleotides) under uncultured bacterium. RNAcentral describes it as "bacterial SSU rRNA". It matches the Rfam family "Bacterial small subunit ribosomal RNA", at positions 32 to 498 of the family's 1533-position model. The record is from RNAcentral.